UGCUAUAUAAUUCCGGAUCUCAGAUCAAGCAAGAGG
This 36-nucleotide ribosomal RNA is filed under the name Pseudo-nitzschia granii. RNAcentral's name for it is "partial 28S ribosomal RNA". Lineage: Eukaryota; Bacillariophyta; Bacillariophyceae; Bacillariales; Bacillariaceae. The record is from RNAcentral.